Molecule: long non-coding RNA, 535 nt
Organism: Haliotis rubra (blacklip abalone)
Lineage: Eukaryota; Metazoa; Mollusca; Gastropoda; Lepetellida; Haliotidae
Exons: 3
Source: RefSeq, a predicted model, not a curated record
UAAUGUAAUAUUAAAGUACACACGCACCAUCAUACAAAAAUAUCAGAUAAAAUUCACGACGAAAUUCACACGUUGCAUAACAAUGUGUUCACAUUUCGCGCACAGAAUCAGCUCCCGACCGUACUGCAUUACAUGAAUGUAGCCUAAUCGGCGUAAUACGAUAUAGAUUUGAGUACAAACACAAAAAUACACUGCAGACUUAAAAGAAUGAUAUUCAGACAUGUAGUGCCAGAUUUUAAUUACCGAUUGCAAAACGUCAACAAAAUCACAAAACAUGACCUGAAAACGAUCAUCUGAUUCCACCGCCUCGCUUCGAAUGGCCAUUUUGCGAUUCAUUAAUGCAAUAUAAGCAGUCAUGGCUAUCCCCGGUGUAUCAUGGAAUCACGGAACAGAUAUUUCAGGAUAUCACACUUGAUAUAUCAUCAGUCAAGGGAAAAGAUAUACUGUCCAUAUGCACCAACGUGAACGUUAACGGUGAUGGUGAAGGCUGUACUGGUUAACUGUCUCUAAGUGUUUGUUUGUUUGUUUCUUGUUA